GUAGGUGGCAAGCGUUGUCCGGAAUUAUUGGGCGUAAAGCGCGCGCAGGUGGGUUCUUUAAGUCUGAUGUGAAAGCCCCCGGGCUCAACCGGGGAGGGUCAUUGGAAACUGGGGAACUUGAGUGCAGGAGAGGAAAGUGGAAUUCCACGUGUAGCGGUGAAACGCGUAGAUAUGUGGAGGAACACCAGUGGCGAAGGCGACUUUCUGGCCUGUAACUGACACUGAGGCGCGAAAGCGUGGGGAGCAAACAGGAUUAGAUACCCUGGUAGUCCACGCCGUAAACGAUGAGUGCUAAGUGUUGGGGGGUUUCCGCCCCUCAGUGCUGCAGCUAACGCAUUAAGCACUCCGCCUGGGGAGUACGGUCGCAAAGACUG
RNAcentral lists this ribosomal RNA (374 nucleotides) under uncultured organism. RNAcentral's name for it is "partial 16S ribosomal RNA". It matches the Rfam family "Bacterial small subunit ribosomal RNA", at positions 527 to 896 of the family's 1533-position model. The record is from RNAcentral.